CUCUGUCUUUCAGUCCCAUAGCUGUCCUUCUUCUUCUUUGUUGUCAUCGUAUCGUUCCUAUUCAUUCUUCUAGGAUUGGAGAAGGAUGAUGCUUUGAUGGUCGGUCAGUGAUGGAUCGUAGUCUUCUCUGUGGCUACAUCAUCUUCAGGAGGUUUUUUUGGAAGCGUAUAUUAUUUAUGAUCCAGUUAUGGCCUUUCGACUCUGAAUUCUCAACUUGUAAUUCUAGGGGUUUGAUUUCUAAAUUGUUUUUUUUUUUUUAACUUCUCGUCACGUUGAUCCUGAACUUAGUAUUCGCCACUGUAAUUUAUGGAUGUUGUCAAAGGAUCACAACAAUUUUUUCCUGUAGCAACAUGGAUGGGCCUCAAGGAUUGGCAUAUUUGCUCAGGAUUACCAGAGAAAGGCAUUGGUGGAGAUGAUGAUGACUUGCUUAAGCGCAAGACCAUUUAUGGUUUCUGGUGUUUUUGGAAGCGUGUUACAAUCCAAUUGUAGAGGAGGAUACUAUGAUCGAUUGGUGAUUGAGGAGGAGGCUGCUAAAAUCUGUCGGUGAUGGAGCUGGUGAAAAACCAACAGCUUGGCAUAAUGUGAAAGGAUCACAACAAUUGUUCCCUGCAGCAAUAUGGAGGGGUUAACUUUGGUAUGCAUGUUUUUUGGUUGCAUCAACCUCAAAAAUUGUCAAAUACGCUCUAGACUAGCUUGUCAUAAUGUCACAACAAUGCUUCCCUGCAGCAAUAUGGAGGGAUUGUGGAAGAGGAGGAGGAUACUAUGAUCGAUUGGUGAUUGAAGUGGAGGCUGCUAAAAUCUGUCACUGAUGGUGGUGGUGCCAAAACCAACAAUUGUUCCCUGCAGCAAUAUGGAGGGGCCUCAAGGAUUGUCAAAUACGUUCUAUACUAGCUUGUCAUAAUGUCACAACAAUGGUUCCCUGCAGCAAUACAAAGAAAUUGUGGAGGAUAGUGCUAUGAUUGAUUGGUGAUUGAGGAGGAGGCUGCUAAAAUCUGUCGGUGAUGGUUUGAUUCAUCCUUGUCAGUUAUGACUCUCGUUUUCUCUGUUUUAUUUUUGUCCUUUUCCCCCACUUCUUAUUUACUAACACGAAUUUUCAUUUGUGGUCUUCUUUGUUUUUCUCUCAGAAGAGUACAUUAUUUAAUCAUUACAAGUUUACAACUGUUGAUGCUAGUAAAGUAAAAUGUCUUGGGUGGACCAGAACGUGAUGGAAGUGUUACAAUCGUUGAUGCAGUUUCACCUCCUGGAGGAGACUUUUCAGAUCCUGUCACCUCUGCAAGACUGCAACCCUUAGUAUUGUGCAGGUCUUCUGGGGUUUGGACAAAAAGCUAUCCCAGAGAAAACAUUUUCCCUCUAUUAAUUGGUUGAUUUCCUACUCAAAAGCAUUGGGAUCUUUCUGUGAGAAGUUCGAUCCAGAUAUCAUCAACAUCAGGACAAAGUCCAGAGAGUUGUUGCAGAGGGAAGACGAUCUUAAUGAAAUUGUCCAGGAAAUGAUGUGCUAGCAGAAGGUGACAAAAUCAUCUUCGAAACAGAUUGUGGAGGAUGCUUUGCUCGGUCGGUGAUGGUUCUGAUGGACGGUUGUCUUCUCUGCGCUACAUCUUCAGACCGUCCAGGCUCUGGGAUUAAUUUGUGGGAGGGUUCGAAGAGAGAAACAUCAGGUUAACAGUAAUGUCCCUGAUCUUCCUAGUGAGCUAGCAUCUACGUUUCAAGCCUAAUACCCUGUUGUUUGUUAUAUUCAAGGUUCUACAAGAGAUAAGCAUCAGAUUCUAUUGCCUGGAUAGGUUUUGGUAAUUAUUUUGCCGCCCAAGAGGAGGGUGACCAAGCCAUGGCUGCCUAUCUCGCUCUCGCUAGGCUAUUGACAGGGUUGAAUAUUAUCUUUUUCUAGGUGUCAUUGCCAACUUUGUACAUUGGAAAGGAGUAUAUGCGAACUCACAGCUACAAGCUGGCCGACCAGCUUGUGGUUGAUGGUGCCUAUGAUUGGUCGCUGGUUUGCUCUCUCUUUUUUUAAUGAACUUUUGUCGCUCAUUUCCUCCUCUGCGUCGUUAUAGCUGCUUCUUAAUUUCCACUUUGGGUUUCUAAAUUGAAUUUACAAUAUUACUUAAUUGUCGUGUUUUGUUUUGUUGAUUUAAAUUUGUGGACUAUGCUCUGAUUGAUCGGUGAUGACUUUGAUUGAUCAUUGUCACCCUAAUUCAUGUUAUUCUUCUAUUCUAGGGUUUGGUUUCUAAAUUGCAUCGGUGCUUUUUCUUUCUUUAAUAUAUAUGUUCAUUCGAUUUUACUUGUCCUUCUGUUAUUUCAGAUUUUGGAUGAAUCAGUGAUGGCUUUGAUAAAGACUCUUCUCCUGGGCUACAUCUUCAGCUAGUGUUCUUCCGCUUCUACUUGCUUGUUUUUUCUUGCUAGGGUUUCGUUUCUAAAUUGCAUCGGUUGCUUUAUAUAUGUUCAUGCUAAUUACUUGUCUCUUCCCUUAUGUUUUUUUCAGGUUUUGGAUGAUGCCUUUUAUCGAUCAGUUAUGGCUCUAAAUGAACACUCCUUUUCUCUGUGCUAACAUCUUCUCCAUGAUACGUCUUCAGGCCACAGGGUUUGGAUGAUGCUUUUAUCACUCACUGAUGGCUUUCACUGAUCGUCCUCAAGCGUUCUCAUGGGUUAAACUAUGGCUUGGAGACAACGCAGCAGAUCACUACUACUAUGUUCUCUCUCCGUUCCUAUUUUGCAGAAUGCCAACUGUUACUAAGAUCCCAAAUCAUGAGAGGCUAUGAAGAUUUCUCUUGAGCUCCAGAAGCUUCUUAUCGACAACAGUCUUCCUAAUAUGUCACCGUCUCAUUUUGGAAACCAAUUAUUUGUUUUAAGCUUGCUUAUGGACCGACGUGGUUAUAUAUGGGGAAGAGUACAUUAUAGCCUGACGUGGUUAUAUAUGGGAAAGAUAUAUCCAAACAUGUCGAGGUCCCAUUCGAGUUUGGACUUGCUCCCCUUACAUGAGCACUGGUAACCAAGAUUCCCAAGUUUCUACAAAAUACCAUCUUCCUGCCAUUGUGGAGCAUCUUGGGAAUAUAGCAUACUUUGGUCAUUACUCCUCUUAUCUGAGGUCAGCUCCUGAGACAUGGCAUAAGUUUGAUGACGCCCAAGGUGAUUGCUGGGCUGAAAUUGCUCGUGACAACAAGGAAGUUUUGCUGUGGAAACAAUAAGAGUUUAAAUCAAGGGCAUGAAUUGGGCUACACAAGAAUUGGCUACACUCGCGCAACUCACGUUUUGUGCGGCCUUGUGAUUGGCUGAAAAAAACAAAAUAGUAGCUCCCCUCCUCCUCCGAUGAUACCAUAUCUACUUGUUUUCGACUUCUUUCUUCGUCUCUUGCUUAAAGUUGAUAAAAAAAGGGCUUAGUGAUUCCUGUAGUAAGGCUAUGAUAUGAUGAAAAGAUGAGAGACGACCCUUUUGCUUCCUGUCUCAUCGAGCAGAGCUUGAAACUAGUAAGUAGUAGUAGUUUCAGUACUAGAGCAGAGCUUCUCAAGUAAAUGUUUCUUCUGGCUCUAAUAGACCACUCAACACUAGAUUUGGCAGACCCUUAUGCAAUCAUUCAUGAAGUCUUCGGCCUGAGCUCUUCAUUUUCAUUCGGGUUUCAAUCAAGCUACCGGGAAAGAAAGAGAUCUGCUGCAACGCUUUGUUUCUUUCAAGUUCAAGGAUGAUGUUUAACCAAGGAUACUAGUGUUUAAGGUCUAUGGGAAGAACUCAUAAAUCUUUUUUUUCUUUCUAAACACUAGUCCACAAGAGAUUCAGAAUAACACUUCCGAUACAAAUAAUUUUUACAUGAUUAAAGAUAAUUUGUUUUAUAAAAGAGUAGGAAUUGAAAGACUUAUAUAUCA
Camelina sativa (false flax) is the source of this 3848-nucleotide non-coding RNA. Lineage: Eukaryota; Viridiplantae; Streptophyta; Magnoliopsida; Brassicales; Brassicaceae. The record is from RefSeq and is a predicted model, not a curated record.